Long non-coding RNA from Lates calcarifer (barramundi perch), 230 nucleotides. RefSeq lists it as uncharacterized. The record is from RefSeq and is a predicted model, not a curated record. The transcript is spliced from 3 exons. NCBI's taxonomy places the organism in Eukaryota, Metazoa, Chordata, Actinopteri, Centropomidae.
GGUAUUACGACGCAGUUCACGGUCAAGAGCGAGAUUUGCAGGAAGUCGCACAGACAGGUGAAAGGAUGUAAACAGCGAGACUGUUUGACUCAGGUAACAGCUGUGAUGAAGUAUGUUGCACCAGUUUGGACCCACGUCAUUCUGAGCCUGGAACAGCAGACAGGACUGAAGUGCACAGGUGAUCACGAGCAGCUUGACGACGUCCUGUGAAAAGAGAAAACAGGUAGGUU